GGGAAUUUAGAAUGGUACUAAGUACGAUCUGAAAAUCCACCACCUGUUUUUGACACACACAAUAGUACACAAAUCAACACAACAAAUGCUAAUAAACAACACCGCACCUACGCACAAUUCCAACCCGUCGCGAGCGACAACUCUCCCCAUCACCACCAAACUGCAGCGGCGCUGCUUGAUAAUUUCAUAACUUUAAAAUUAUAACAGCAGGGAUAUCAAUCAAAAACUCCGGAAGCAAUUACAUAAAAUUCCCCACAAGUUUUAUAUUCAAAUGAUAAUUAAAUUCCAACCCCUAAUUAGCCCAAAACAGUCCACAAGAUAAACCCUGCAAUCUGUUUUUGGACAGCAGCAUACCCGGAUUCAAACAACGAUAUCUCCUAAAAUAUAACUUCGAAUCGAGCGUAUAAGUACUCGUUGAAAAGGUAUGACAAAGAUCUACAUGAUUAUCAUACUGAUUAUCACUAAUCACACACGAAAAAUCCCCAGAAACUGCAAAUACUACUGUUGUUCGCCCACCUGCAAAAUCUGUUGUUUUGGACAGCAACAUACUCGGAUUCAAACAGCGAUAUAUCCUAAAAUAUAACUCCGAAUCGAGCGCAUAAGUACUCGUUGUAAAGGUAUGACAAAGCUCUACAUGAUUCUCUCACUGAUUCCCACUAAUUACACACGAAAAAAUCCCAGAAACUGCUAGAACUACUGCUGUUCGCCCACCCACAAAAUUUCUGGACAGCACCUCUACCAAUUCGCAUACGUAAACAUCUAAUCGAUUAAAUUACAGCACAAAUAAACAAGAGUUAAUCACAAAAUCACCUUGACUUCUCCCCCUUUGCUCCCUCCUUCUUCCUUCCACCAAAUUCCAAUUGGAGAUUUGCACCCACGCGACGUAGAUCAAGCGGGAGGGCUGCACCUAGGAGAGGAGGAGAUGGGGGGGGGGCUAGGGUUUGUGGGAUGGUGGCUGCAAGAGUUUGAGGGAGGAGGAGAUGAGAG
RNAcentral lists this long non-coding RNA (987 nucleotides) under Zea mays. RNAcentral's name for it is "long non-coding RNA (ZMAY_LNC004805)". The record is from RNAcentral. Lineage: Eukaryota; Viridiplantae; Streptophyta; Magnoliopsida; Poales; Poaceae.